GGAGAGUAGCUGUCAGGCUGUCACCUACAUCUGUCUUCUUCUCCAGAAGGUGCUUCGAAGGGGAAAAGUUAGCAAGGUUAGAGCUUGUGAAAUGUUGAGCAAACUUGAUCACGUCCGCUUGCAGUCAACAUGGAAAGCAAGCAGAUCGGUCCGGGAGGCUACGCCGGAUUGGCGUUUCCAAUCUUAGCCACCUGCGCUGCGCCACUGGAUUUUGCUGUUAUGAGCUUUUUUUUUGGCUGGGAGGGGAGAGGAGCUGGCAGCCGGAAGGGGUAUGAAGGGACUGGGCGGGCAGAAGUGCGUCGCGGGGUCGCUGGUGACGCGGCGACAUCGGGUCUGGCUUAUCCUCUUCCCGGUCAUCUCUGCAUGCGUAUCCCUGGCCGUGCUACACCCGUCCGCGUGGGACGCAUCAGGCGGAUGCGGUGAGCAAGGUCGCGGACGCGGAGGACGUGUUGGUGCCAGGGCUGCCGGGGUGUUUGCAGUAUGUCCGUCAUUCCAGGGGCACUGAUGUUCAAUCUUAUUCCUAUGCGUUAUCUAAAUAGCGAUAGGAUUUUGUUUCUGAUCAAGAUCUAUCUCUUUGGGAGCACUGAAUUUGUCACUGAGCCUCUAGGUAAGAGGUAGAAAGGAGGUGCUCAGUGGAAAGCGAUGGCAUGGAAUAAAAAGGCAUGUAAGCUGAUUUAAGCUAGUAGACCGUACAGAAAAAUAACUGGAAAACGAAUUGAGGUGUUGUGCUACGACCUGGUCAGCAUGGAGGAUGAAGAAACUGAAUGUUCAGGAGAUACCAGUUGGUCAACGACAGUGAACCCCAAUUCAUACACAUUAUAUUCUUGGUCCUUGUUCUCCAAGAUCCGUGGAAGAUGCAAAAGAGCAUUCCGUUGAGAUCGAGCUGAGACAUCUUUUACUGGAGCGGCCUGCAUUUCUAUUUUCUUAAGUUUCAUGCAAGAUAAGUGUGGAGAUCAAGCGUGAACUGAUUGAGCAAACAAACCACCGCAACAAUGAUCAAUUUAAACCAGUGCAUAGGGUUAUCUUUACUGCUCGCGCAUGCCGUGAGGUCUUCAGUGUUCAAGAAUCCACAUCGUAGCAUCAUAGCAGAGCCAUCAUGACCAAGCAAAUGAAUCAAAAGCUUGUGUGGAUAGGUCAGAUCAAUUUUUACCAAAACUUCAAACAAAUUUAUAAUGCACUCGGAAAAGGUAAUGAGAGAACAUAAAUUCUGAGCAUAUGGGAGUAACUUGCUAACCUUCAUCUUUAAAGCAAACAUAAUAGUUUGAAUAACCGCAAUGGUUUUAAUUAUCUGUCUCACUCCACUGACCAUUGGACUCUCAAAAUGAAGAUUCACGAAGUAUGUCUUCGGAGAAAGUUGUGAGAACACACUCUUAAAGGAGAAAUGAUUCUCACAACACUGAAACUUUGUAUGACGUAACCUUAUAAAAAUUAUACUAAACUCAUAAAAGAAAAUUAUCUAUAAGCUAGCUGGUAUCUUAACAAAUGAUUUGCACACCGCAUAUAAAGCAAUAGGCCAUAAUACAUGUCUAUAAGUUAUCCGAACCUAACAGCCUACAUCAAUCCACCUCAAGCAGAAUCAUUUCCAUAUGAGCCUAUGUAUGAUGAUAACCAUAUGAAACGUGCCGCCAACAUAUAUCAAAUAAUAGUAUGAAUAGAAUCUGCAGUUGCGAAACCUAAACAAAUACAUUUCCAGCAUGUCCAACCAAACAUGUAUUGGAAAAAUAAAUAAUCUUGUGUCUUAAUUGUGAGUUGUUGCAAAAUCCACAUCUAUUAUCUUCUAAAGAAAUAUUCUAACACUGCAGCAGGCCUCAUGUAAGCCUAUCAAUAAGUAAAAGCUAGAACAACAACGGUUUAGUUGACUGUAUGAUUUUCAUAGCAAAUGAAAACUUAUGGGAGAACUUUAUAAUACCUUCGGGAUGCUAAAACCUGAAGUUUUCCGAGAUGAAGGCUUUGUUGGAAAUAGUAGAAUAGGAGCAUCGCAGGCCUCCUCUAAAAGAGGAACAUGGAAAAUAUCACAGGAGUUAUCACAGUUGAAGACAUGUUGGACUGAAAAAACAUUAAUCUUUCACAAAGUAAAAUAUGAAAUCGCCGAUCCAAAUAUCAAGACAGCUAAUAUUAGAUUUCCCAUUUCUUUCGGUGCAAGUAGAGCUUCCAAGAUAAUAACUGAAUCCCUCUCUCAUAAAGAAUAAGCGGCAGUGCUAGAUUGUUGGCACCAUGAAGCUCCCAGAUCAGAUUCACCAAAGAAGAGGAAAACUAUCCACCAGAAAACGACCCAACAACUCUCCCAUCAGAAGUACCAAUGAAGCAGCAGACAUACAUCUUCCAAGCGGAGAUGGAGCAUGCAAAGCAGAAGAUGGAACCACUGAGGAAUGCCUCCCGACCAUGGCAUCAACAGCAGCAUGGCAACCUACAACAUCAAUCAAUCAGUAAACAACAUGAUAUUGCUGGUAUAUUUCUAUGAGCCUCCCGCUACACCGCCUUGGAAGCUUUCCCUCUUCAUCCGACCAUCGAGCAUCCAGAGGCAGCGAGGUCCAUCACCACCAAUCCCAUCACCGCACAGCUCGCAAUCCAGAAGGAUCUAGGGCAGCGCUGCGAGAUCUGGCCGCGCAUCACCAGGGCCGGUCCUGACGUGGUAGAGGCCCCGGUGCAAAAGAACAACAUGGGCCCACGUAUGUGCUCGUGUCAUUCAAAGAAUUUUUUCAUACUUCGAUAUUUAUUUAAAUUCUGAUAUAUCUAUAUAAUAAAAAGUAUCUACUAUCUAUAUACAUCUAAAUUUAGAUAAACUUACGAAAUUCUUUUUAUUCGAUAGAUGUAGUUUAUAAAGUCGCUGAUAUUUGUUCUUACAUAGGCAUCGCCCUUUUUGGUUGUACUUGUACAAUAGAUAGGUCAAGGUUCUAAGAAAUGUCUUUAGAAAUUGUAUUUGUACUACUUCUUUCGAUUCAUAUUAAUUAAUUUCUAAUGUUGAUGUAUCUAGAUAUAUUGUAGUUGUAGAUACAUCCAUACUAACCGCAAGUAAUAUGAAUUGGAGUAAGUAGUAAUUUUGUUUUGUCAAGUGCUACAUUUUCUCCUUUUGGGAUUCUACAACUCAUCUGCUAGUUUGCCUAAUUCCCGUCCAAAUACUUUUUAAUUGACAUCUUAGCACAGGAAGAUUACAAAAAAAUAUGGCAUAAGUUGAAACAAGAACACCUGGAGCGGGACUGGAUGUCGCCACGGGUAGGAAGCAAAUCUCCUUCUGGUUCAGUCAAGUAGAAGAUGAUUUCUACUCGGUCAAAUCUUCUUUGGUAUCUCGAUUCUAUGGGGACUGAAAGAGUGGGGAUUACAAAGAUCAUCAGAAAUCACAAGAAGAAGCAACGAUGGAAAGAAAUCAGAUUGGCUGAAGAAGAAUAGAAAGGCUGUGAGCAGGGCCUAGCUGUGAGCUAUGUAGAAGAGAGUGAAAUGCACUAGCAGUCCUGAAAGUUACCGGCUAUGUCUAAAACAGUCCUUGAACUUAGAAUUUGCCUUACUUCAGUCCUCCAACUUGAUUUGAAUGUCCAUAUACGGUCCAAAAUACAGAGGUCCACCGUAUGCUGCUGAGGUGGCAUGGAAUCAGGCCCACAGUGGAGCCCAAUUGGUGGACCCAUGCCAGCGAAGCAGUAAAACCCAGUCUGCUUUGAGUUACAGACUAGGACGUUAAGUCUUUUUUUUUUUACCCCAGGACGUUAAAUCUUUGUUAUUUCUUAUUUAGUUUGUGUGGUACUUUUAACGUUCUCAAGCUA
Long non-coding RNA from Lolium perenne, 3755 nucleotides. RefSeq lists it as uncharacterized. Lineage: Eukaryota; Viridiplantae; Streptophyta; Magnoliopsida; Poales; Poaceae. The record is from RefSeq and is a predicted model, not a curated record.